Molecule: ribosomal RNA, 300 nt
Filed under: uncultured Spirochaeta sp.
Lineage: Bacteria; Pseudomonadati; Spirochaetota; Spirochaetia; Spirochaetales; Spirochaetaceae
Description: bacterial SSU rRNA
Rfam family: Bacterial small subunit ribosomal RNA
Source: RNAcentral
CCCAACGUCGGGGCGGGAGCUGCGGUAAUGUGUAGGGUGCGGUCGUUGUCCGUAAGUAUGUGUCGGAAAGGGGUCGUAGGCGGUUUGUCACGUCGGGAGUGAAAACUCGGGGCUCAACCCCGAGCCUGCGUCCGAUACGGGCAGACUAGAGGUAUGAAGGGGAGAACGGAAUUCCUGGUGUAGCGGUGAAAUGCGCAGAUAUCAGGAGGAACACCGGUGGCGAAGGCGGUUCUCUGGGCAUUACCUGACGCUGAGGAGCGAAAGUGUGGGGAGCGAACAGGAUUAGAUACCCGAGUAGUC